AACAUUGUGAGAUCAUCUGCUGCAUGCACAAACAGACUGUCUUCCAUAACCCUGAACUGGUGGCAUUGGGGGUACAGUCUUGUUCCUACCUGGACAAAGCAACCUGCUAGAAAUAAAUCGUAGGUUAUGCUGAUUUUAUAGAAGGCUGAGUUGCCUUUAAGGAAUGCUGAGGAAUGUGACCAUUCCACAUAUCCGGCCAAUCUUUCCCAUCAAAGACUGAAAGGAGGAAGAAAAGACAAAAAUGAACGCACCAAGUUAGGCUCAAUUCUUUCUCAUCUGCCAGGUCUAAGGCCUUCUGUUUUGUAGGAGAAAAGGAAAUCUGUUGCAAGAUUGAUUCUGGAAGGCUAUAAGGAGACACACUGCUCUUGGAGAGGUCAUGGGACCAGAGGCAGACAAGUUUUAAAGCAUAGCUGCAGUUAUGGGUUAAGCUCUGAAAGGCAGAGGAAAUCUUUCUCAAGGCAGGCACAGCAAGAGCGAAAUGCAGAGCGCUCUCCUGUUGCUGUGAGCCCACGGCUGCUCCGGAGGAUCGGAAACAGGCACAGGAGAGGGAGGGAUUCCUCUGUGAGCAAAACCUCUUUUAUGUCAAAGCCCCAGCUGAUCCCGCGCCCAGGACACGGCAAAAGCGCCUCUCUCCACCCGUGAGCCCAGGAAGCGAACGGAGGGUUGGACUCCAAAUGGUCUCCUCAGCGAUGACAAGCACAAAUUCUUUAGCACCAUCUAGCUAACACAGAGGUAACCCACACCGACACUCCUGCCUGCAGAGGCUCCCAAAGCCGGAGCCGCGUGUGGAUGAGGGGAAGGAGAGGGCGGAUUCAGCGCAGCACCAAGAGCGCAGCGAGUGGCUCACACGGAGCCAGAUGGAGCACGGACCAACUCCUUCCUGAUAAAAUAAAUAAAUAAAUAAAUAAAUAAAUA
This is a long non-coding RNA of Passer domesticus (house sparrow), 915 nucleotides long. RefSeq lists it as uncharacterized. The record is from RefSeq and is a predicted model, not a curated record. The transcript has 3 exons. Lineage: Eukaryota; Metazoa; Chordata; Aves; Passeriformes; Passeridae.